This is a long non-coding RNA of Mercenaria mercenaria, 878 nucleotides long. RefSeq lists it as uncharacterized. The transcript is spliced from 4 exons. The record is from RefSeq and is a predicted model, not a curated record. Lineage: Eukaryota; Metazoa; Mollusca; Bivalvia; Venerida; Veneridae.
AUUCUCUUGUGUAAUGAUUAUUUGUAUAUUUUACUUUCAGUGUCUGAUACAUGUAGUUGCAGUCUGUCUUUGGAAGCUGUAGAAAUAACAAGAAAGGGACUGACAUAGUGUUUUGGUAGGGAAAAGUUUGAGUAUGUACAUAUAUAGUUGUUUGACCUGUCUUACCCUGUGGCAGUCCAAGCAGAUGUUACCAUUAUGAAAAAUGCAGGAGAACUUGAAGACAAUGGUUAGUGCAGAAGGGACAUAAAAGUUAUGAUAAAAGUAACAGAUAUAAAUAAGAAGUGCUACAAGUGUGUUGUCAUGUGAAAUGGAAUUUACCCCCAACUGUGCUGCAUGAUGUAUAUUCAAGUGCAAGACAGCCAUGCACCAGCUGUAAACUGAGAUGGACCCAUAUAAUAAAUAUGUUGACUUUCCUAUGUAUUAUCAUCUGUACAGAAUGUGUUCAUGACAAGACUGUAUACAUGUAUUGUUAAAUCAUUUUUUAUUUCCAUUAUUGCAUGCAUGUAAGAAGCAAGCAUUUAACAAUUGCAGUCAUAGAAGUGUUAAAAUGUGAUCAAUCUAAUUUAAAGAAACACAUUUAAUUGGACUUUUUAAGUUUCAUAGUAUUUUUGGUGGGGAUUGACCCAGUCAUUCAGCAACUUAUACAGUCUGUGAGUCAUUUCUUGUAUGUUAUAGUUUUCUUAAUAAUACAUUAAAUGUCAAAGUUAUGGUAAGAUGAACUCAUUCAUCACAUGUAGAUUAAUGUUAAAGCAGUUCAACAUUUUACCAUAAGUUAACUAAUAUUCUAUUUAACCAGAGUUGUCACAUAUUUUCAUAUAAAUAUUUGUAUAAUACAGUCUAAUCUAAUCUACAUAUGAUGUACCACAUUUUUUUAGUUA